UACGUAGGAGGCAAGCGUUGUCCGGAAUUACUGGGCGUAAAGCGCGUGUAGGUGGUGGGACAAGUCUGCUGUGAAAUCCCCAGGCUUAACCUGGGAAGUGCGCGGAAAACUGGCGAGCUUGAGUGCCGGAGAGGGUCGCGGAAUUCCCGGUGUAGAGGUGAAAUUCGUAGAUAUCGGGAGGAACACCAGUGGCGAAGGCGGCGACCUGGACGGACACUGACGCUGAGACGCGAAAGCGUGGGGAGCAAACAGG
RNAcentral lists this ribosomal RNA (253 nucleotides) under uncultured bacterium. Its description in RNAcentral is "partial 16S ribosomal RNA". It matches the Rfam family "Bacterial small subunit ribosomal RNA", at positions 524 to 776 of the family's 1533-position model. The record is from RNAcentral.